Molecule: ribosomal RNA, 468 nt
Filed under: uncultured bacterium
Lineage: Bacteria
Description: partial 16S ribosomal RNA
Rfam family: Bacterial small subunit ribosomal RNA
Source: RNAcentral
GACGAACGCUGGCGGCGGGCUUAACACAUGCAAGUCGAACGGAAAGGCCCUGCUUUUGUGGGGUGCUCGAGUGGCGAACGGGUGAGUAACACGUGAGUAACCUGCCCUUGACUUUGGGAUAACUUCAGGAAACUGGGGCUAAUACCGGAUAGGAGCUCCUGCUGCAUGGUGGGGGUUGGAAAGUUUCGGCGGUUGGGGAUGGACUCGCGGCUUAUCAGCUUGUUGGUGGGGUAGUGGCUUACCAAGGCUUUGACGGGUAGCCGGCCUGAGAGGGUGACCAGCCACAUUGCGACUGAGAUACGGCCCAGACUCCUACGGGAGGCAGCAGUGGGGAAUAUUGCACAAUGGGCGGAAGCCUGAUGCAGCAGCGCCGCGUGCGGGAUGACGGCCUUCGGGUUGUAAACCGCUUUCGCCUGUGACGAAGCGUGAGUGACGGUAAUGGGUAAAGAAGCACCGGCUAACUACGUG